This 842-nucleotide long non-coding RNA is filed under the name Mus spicilegus (steppe mouse). Its description in RNAcentral is "lncRNA (ENSMSIG00000028908.1)". Lineage: Eukaryota; Metazoa; Chordata; Mammalia; Rodentia; Muridae. The record is from RNAcentral.
CGCGUGGACAAUGGCACGCACACAGAGAUCACAAAAUAUACACGGCAUACAUUACCAACAGAGCACAAAGUCACACAGAAGAGACAGCUCCUAAGUACACCGCUGCCCUGCCCUCACACCUUUAAAGCUCCCGCUAGCACGCUCCAGCCCACAGACACCAGCACCAGGAAGAAGUCAUCAACAAGGCCCUCCCACCUCCCAGGCCUGCUGGGCUUUACCGAGCCAGGGAGACACCCAGCUGUGUGCACACCGGUUUGUGCCUGCACAGCCGCCAGAUUCCAGCGAGCAUUUCUUGCUCAGUCCCACCAGGAUAGUACUCUGCACGAGCCAAGACUGCCCCCCUCAGAACUUAGCAUGCCGGUGGGCCUCAUGCCACUGGCCUGGCAGAACCUGAGUCAGGCCACAUUCUUCUCUGCAAGCUGGAAGGAAACACACAGAAUCUGGGAAAGGCAGCCAAAGGGCAGACUCCAUCACAUCCACGGGACAGCUAAUGACGACUACAGUGCUGUGGGAAGGCAGCAAACAAAACAGAGCCAAACACAGUCUUCUUGGGGCAUGAGCAGCCAAUGGGACGGGACCUGUGAGAUCCUCGAGAACCUGCACUGUUUACUGCCCAUGUUACCCGAACAGCUAGUAACUCUUCUCCACAUGGUACCCAAGUCUGGUACCCAGGAGUGAACCUCCUGAGCGGCACAUCAUGCCAAAACUAGCAGCCUCCCUCAUGAUCGGCCAGGCUGCCUGGCUUUCAACUCAGCUCUCAUAGAGUCAUUUUAGCUUCUCAUUUUCUUAAUUUCUAUCUCUGUAAAAAUAAAAUAAAAAUUCUAACAAGUUAGCUAUGGUGA